UGAACUGAGGGGCGCUGCAGCAGCUUUUACUGUCAGGCUCAGUUCAGGAAACACUGUUCAACGGCGCCCGUUCAAC
RNAcentral lists this non-coding RNA (76 nucleotides) under Marinospirillum alkaliphilum. RNAcentral describes it as "SAH sequence". It matches the Rfam family "SAH (S-adenosyl-L-homocysteine) riboswitch aptamer". The record is from RNAcentral. Lineage: Bacteria; Pseudomonadati; Pseudomonadota; Gammaproteobacteria; Oceanospirillales; Oceanospirillaceae. RNAcentral also lists the same sequence under 1 other name.